GACUAUGGCCAUGCUACCCUGAACACGCCCGAUCCCGUCUGAUCUCAGAAGCUAAGCAGGGUCCGGCCUGGUUAGUACUUGAAUGGGAGACUACUUAGGAAGACCAGGUCCUGUAGGCA
RNAcentral lists this ribosomal RNA (119 nucleotides) under Pteropus alecto (black flying fox). RNAcentral also lists the same sequence under 1 other name. Lineage: Eukaryota; Metazoa; Chordata; Mammalia; Chiroptera; Pteropodidae. The record is from RNAcentral.